ACAGGAUGGGUGGCAAGGCGUCACGCUAGUUUCAUAAGCUAGAAUAGAACGGUUCAAUCCCGUUAUCCUGAA
This 72-nucleotide transfer RNA is filed under the name Lactococcus lactis. Its description in RNAcentral is "tRNA-Met". It matches the Rfam family "tRNA". From Rfam's summary of the family: Transfer RNA (tRNA) molecules are approximately 80 nucleotides in length. Their secondary structure includes four short double-helical elements and three loops (D, anti-codon, and T loops). The record is from RNAcentral. RNAcentral also lists the same sequence under 7 other names. Lineage: Bacteria; Bacillati; Bacillota; Bacilli; Lactobacillales; Streptococcaceae.